This 737-nucleotide ribosomal RNA is filed under the name Salmonella enterica. Its description in RNAcentral is "partial 23S ribosomal RNA". It matches the Rfam family "Bacterial large subunit ribosomal RNA", at positions 1918 to 2654 of the family's 2925-position model. The record is from RNAcentral. Lineage: Bacteria; Pseudomonadati; Pseudomonadota; Gammaproteobacteria; Enterobacterales; Enterobacteriaceae. RNAcentral also lists the same sequence under 1 other name.
CCCCGGUAAACGGCGGCCGUAACUAUAACGGUCCUAAGGUAGCGAAAUUCCUUGUCGGGUAAGUUCCGACCUGCACGAAUGGCGUAAUGAUGGCCAGGCUGUCUCCACCCGAGACUCAGUGAAAUUGAACUCGCUGUGAAGAUGCAGUGUACCCGCGGCAAGACGGAAAGACCCCGUGAACCUUUACUAUAGCUUGACACUGAACAUUGAGCCUUGAUGUGUAGGAUAGGUGGGAGGCUUUGAAGUGUGGACGCCAGUCUGCAUGGAGCCGACCUUGAAAUACCACCCUUUAAUGUUUGAUGUUCUAACGUGGACCCGUAAUCCGGGUUGCGGACAGUGUCUGGUGGGUAGUUUGACUGGGGCGGUCUCCUCCUAAAGAGUAACGGAGGAGCACGAAGGUUGGCUAAUCCUGGUCGGACAUCAGGAGGUUAGUGCAAUGGCAUAAGCCAGCUUGACUGCGAGCGUGACGGCGCGAGCAGGUGCGAAAGCAGGUCAUAGUGAUCCGGUGGUUCUGAAUGGAAGGGCCAUCGCUCAACGGAUAAAAGGUACUCCGGGGAUAACAGGCUGAUACCGCCCAAGAGUUCAUAUCGACGGCGGUGUUUGGCACCUCGAUGUCGGCUCAUCACAUCCUGGGGCUGAAGUAGGUCCCAAGGGUAUGGCUGUUCGCCAUUUAAAGUGGUACGCGAGCUGGGUUUAGAACGUCGUGAGACAGUUCGGUCCCUAUCUGCCGUGGGCGC